Long non-coding RNA from Homo sapiens (human), 778 nucleotides. Ensembl annotates it as MIR924 host gene. Its record names the gene MIR924HG. The record is from Ensembl. NCBI's taxonomy places the organism in Eukaryota, Metazoa, Chordata, Mammalia, Primates, Hominidae.
ACUUGGGAUUCGAACGGCAGGCGGGAAGUGCUCUAGCAGGGGAGUCUGACCUUGUGAGGGAAUACCUGUGUCCCCCCUUUUUUCCCCUUUUUACCCAAUAAAACCCUGCCUUACUCACCCUUUAAAUCAUCUGCGAGCCUGAAUUUUCAUGGCCGUGGGACGGACAAGAACUUUAUCUUCAGCUGAACUAAGAAAAAGUCCUGCAACAUUUUUGGCGCGCAAUGUGGGGGCACCAGAAGCGAAAGAACACCCCCUCUUAAACAUGGAGAUCGUUAUAUAGAAUGUCCAAGGCAAAUUAAGGAAAAUAAUUAUUGUAGCUGAUGAAGCAGAAACCCUAUUAGAGCUAAAUGCUACUUCACAGUACUCAGUGGUGGAGGUUCUGAAGUAAGUGCAUUUUUCAGCAUCUUUAGGCACCGUUGAGCUGUUGCAACUGUUCUGCUGGAGCCUUAUGUAUGUGGUUGAAACCACCUGUACUACUGGAAUGAAAGCACCUUUACAGAAGAGGCAAUGCAAGUUGUAUUCAUCACAUGUGUAGAAUGAAUUAAGAUUUAUGCCAGUUGCAAAGAAGAAUAUUGGCUCACUAUUUUUCCUCUGGGCAUCAGCAUAUGAUCCCCUGUUGAAGACAGACAAGUACAUCUUUCUGGUGGCUCCUAGACCUGGCAUUGGGAACAGAAGAUUAUCAGUAUGAUCCGUACGCUUAAGGAAAGAUCUCAUAUUAUUGAAAUGAAUAUUUUAUUUGAUAAAUUGAACUACAGAAUAAAGUACUUUUAACAAACCA